Gymnodraco acuticeps is the source of this 2026-nucleotide long non-coding RNA. RefSeq lists it as uncharacterized. The transcript has 2 exons. NCBI's taxonomy places the organism in Eukaryota, Metazoa, Chordata, Actinopteri, Perciformes, Bathydraconidae. The record is from RefSeq and is a predicted model, not a curated record.
UUUUCUUGUUGUACCGAACCCGUACCGAACCGUGACCCCCAAACCGAGCUGCCGGAGCGCGAGUCGAUCAGACCCGGGGAGAGGGAGCAGAAGGGCGGACUGGGGCUGGGGGGCAACCCCGAAUCCGGACUGUCGAGCAGCCCUUCCCGGUUCUUUCCUUUCAGGCUAUCAUCCAUCGCUUGUAAAUGUAGGUGCCCCACCAUUUCUGGGACGACUCAAGUCAAAAAAACACCCCGGACCAAGUUGCACUGACAAGUUGAGCGCUCCUGCCUCGGAAAGACAAUCCUGGGUGAACUUCUUUUAGGAGGACUCCUGCAACCGAAGAAAAAGGGGGAAAAUAUGGAUUUAAUCAAAGCCCAUACACUAGGGAAAAAAACUCCCCACAGUGAUAUGGAUCCAGCCCUUAUUUAUCCAAAACAUUACUGUACCUGCGCGUCGUGAAGUAGUCUGUCCACUUUUAAUUCCGAAAUAUAUUCCAAUUUGCGGGAAAAACCAACCACAAUCUUAAAUACUAACUUCAACCUUCACACCAAAGUGUAGUUUACACUAUUUAUAUAUAUCACAACUGAACAAAAACGUAAUAAAUCUCGCGCAAAAACAAAAAGUCGACCGUGCGUCUGGCACCGAUCAGGAUGAGAGCUCCUCUCCUCUGCUCUGCUGAGUGUGUGUGUGAGUGUGUGUGUGCGCAUGUGUGUGUGCGCUCUGCAGCGGAGAGCUCCUUCUUAAUGAUCCUGCCAGGCUUUUUUUGCACCUGGGUUCAGUCCAGCCCUCAUGAUCUGGAUCACUUCCAUGAACAACCGACAGGGGCGAGCACGUCCUCCCUGCUCCUGCUGCACGGUGACCUAUGACGGGGACUGACUGAGUGUAGUUAUAAUUGAAGUGCCUUUGAGCAAGUUAUACCAUCCCUUCUGGAUCUAGGGUUUGGUUUAUCUUGAUAACUAUAAUUAACAGUUAGUUAUUCAUAAGUAGUAAUUGGCACAACUGUAGUGAUUUUCUAGUUGGCUACAUAAUAACAGGUUUAUAUAAAGGUUUCUUAUAAACCAGUUGGUAUACGCAUUUCAUCUUGCAUUUCUCACAAUAAGCAGUAUUAAUUAUACAUCACUAAAUUACAUUGAUUAGCAUUUAUAAUGUGAAACUUUCCACAUUUAGAUAUUUAUAUUUGAUAAUAUGUCACUUCAUCAGAGAACUCUAGUUACCUUUGUUAAUCGGUAGAAGUUAGUAAUCACUGUUGAAUACUUCCAAUAGCUACCAAUAACUAUUACUAUUAUAAUAUUAUUACAUAAUUAGCAUUACGUUUCUGAUUAGUGGCACCUCUAUUCCUCUUUUUGUGUAUUUAUGGGACAAUAUUGGUAAAUUGUCAAUAUAAUCAAAUUUUCUGCCAGUAAAUAUAGCCUUUUAUCUCACUUUACCUACGAGUCAUACUUUCUGUUUACAGCCUUUUAAACUAAAGAAAUGGGAAGGUGUUGUCCAACAUUUUUGUAUACUGGGUUAAUUUGUAUUAGACUAUACACAUUGUGAAAUGUUAAAAAAAGGUAAAGUCUUUUUUGACAAAAUGAAUGACACUCAUCAUGCCAAAUAGCAACUUGUCUUCCUGAGGUGUAGAUCUGAGUUGAACAAUCUGAAACAGCUCAAUGCAUAUCAAGUCUGAGAGAUGAACUCCACAGCUAAACAAGAAAGUAUAUCAUCUGCGUAACUGCACAUUUGCAGAUUUUUUAAGCUUACCUAUUACUUUUUUUUGAAAGCCUGGAGCUCAUCUCAUUGCCAACAUAGCAGAACAAAUUAGCUGGGUAUCUGCAAUGAGUAAAACCCUUUACAAUUUGAAUGUUGUUCAGCUAAAGUUAUCCGAAAUGAUCACAAAGUUAUUUAAGCGUUGUUAUCCUGAGAAACUCCCCUGAUGUCAAUCCUUGUAUAGUUUUAGUUAUUUCCAGAAAUGAUCAGUCGGCUGCCUUUGUGGAGCAGUUUGUUUUGUUCCAGAAAAUAUCUUGUCAAAGGAUUAUUAAAGGAUCACUGAAGUUAUUUUUCAUAA